UGAUGACCCAAAAGAAAAAUCCCGUUCCCCUGAUCCUCAGAACAAACCCUAAAUCUAGACGCAGACGUUGCCGGCGGCAAGCCUCUAUCUCUUUCCGAUCUUGUCUGUUCUUUUAUUUUCUCAAGCAUGUCCACCGAGUACUUUUUUUUUAGCAGUGUGUCUCAAAGAAAAAGUAUACCCCUUAGCUCUCCAGUCCCAAGCAACAUGCGUGAGAUCCUAAUAAGGCAUGCCAUGAUGACCGGAAGCUGGCGGGCUUAUCCAUCUACAGACAUUACUGUGCAUGAUAUACUAGUCGUAGCGGAACAAUUUUUUCUUGUCCGAGUCCCUGAUUUCCUGCUUUUAUCCAAAAGGCAAAUGUAUACAGAGGAGCUGGCUGAAAUUCUUACCAAAAUGAGGGUCCCUAGAUUUGAGCAACCAGCUAUCAUUGAUAAACUAUUUAUGGGGGUUGAACUAGCUGACAACCCCGACUAGCCUAUUGCUUGUUACAUAAAGGAUGUCACCGUAUUUCAUCGUCCGCAUACCCUUCAAUUAGAUUGUUUCGAGAAAGUGAGAAUUGAUAAUUUGGAAGAUAUUGAUAGAGAGAAACAAUGUGUCAUUUGUAAGGAGAGCCUUGGUUGCUUUGAGGGUGUAGAAGAAGGGAUUGAUCAUGGUCAGCGGAUGAUUAUUCGCUUGUUCUGCUCACAUCUUUAUCACGAAGAUUGCAUUUUCCAAUGGCUGGUGACGAGUCCGUUAUGCCCCAUGUGCCGAUACUCAGUGCCGGUUGUGGAACAGGCAAUGCCGGUUGUGGAACAGGCAAUGCCGGUUGUGGAACAGGCAAUGCCAGUUGUGGAACAGGCAGCGGAGCUAUCAAAACCAUCAUGGCGGCAGCUGCAUUGGCCUAUGCUGCUCACAGCGUCUGCGGGUGGUAUAUUAACUGCUUUGCUGGUAUGUAGAUUAUUGAAGCAAAGGCAAGUGUGAUGUUAUCAGCAUAUCAGCAAUUUCAUCAAAAUUAAAUAUGCUGAGUAACUUCUUGUUUUCAUAUUAGCUCCCUUCUUUUUAGCCUGUAAUGUGGAUCAUGCAAAGUUGAUAUGAAUAAUCGUAUAGUGCAAGACAACAGUUCCGUGCUACAUUAGACGGCCCUUCAUUUCGAGGGAACUUUUGUCACCGCAUCAAUUUUGUGAUGGAUUUCUGUCAGAAGUCAGACUUGUUCAUACAUGGAAAGAUUUUGUAGUGUCUUACUUGAA
Molecule: long non-coding RNA, 1223 nt
Organism: Rosa chinensis
Lineage: Eukaryota; Viridiplantae; Streptophyta; Magnoliopsida; Rosales; Rosaceae
Exons: 2
Source: RefSeq, a predicted model, not a curated record